ACGAACCUUCGGGUUAGUGGCGGACGGGUGAGUAACGCGUGAGAAUCUGCCCUCAGGAGGGGGAUAACGGCUGGAAACGGCCGCUAAUACCCCAUAUGCCGAGAGGUGAAAUGAAUUUCGCCUGAGGAUGAGCUCGCGUCUGAUUAGCUAGUUGGUGUGGUAAAGGCUCACCAAGGCAUCGAUCAGUAGCUGGUCUGAGAGGAUGAUCAGCCACACUGGGACUGAGACACGGCCCAGACUCCUACGGGAGGCAGCAGUGGGGAAUUUUCCGCAAUGGGCGCAAGCCUGACGGAGCAACGCCGCGUGAGGGAUGAAGGCCUCUGGGCUGUAAACCUCUUUUAUCAAGGAAGAAGAUCUGACGGUACUUGAUGAAUAAGCCACGGCUAAUUCCGUGCCAGCAGCCGCGGUAAUACGGGAGUGGCAAGCGUUAUCCGGAAUUAUUGGGCGUAAAGCGUCCGCAGGCGGUCUUGAAAGUCUGUUGUUAAAGCGUGGAGCUCAACUCCAUUUCAGCAAUGGAAACUAGAAGACUACAGUGUGGUAGGGGCAGAGGGAAUUCCCGGUGUAGCGGUGAAAUGCGUAGAUAUCGGGAAGAACACCAGUGGCGAAGGCGCUCUGCUGGGCCAUAACUGACGCUCAUGGACGAAAGCCAGGGGAGCGAAAGGGAUUAGAUACCCCUGUAGUCCUGGCCGUAAACGAUGAACACUAGGUGUCGGGGGAAUCGACCCCCUCGGUGUCGUAGCCAACGCGUUAAGUGUUCCGCCUGGGGAGUACGCACGCAAGUGUGAAACUCAAAGGAAUUGACUGGGGCCCCCACAAGCGGUGGA
RNAcentral lists this ribosomal RNA (824 nucleotides) under uncultured cyanobacterium. RNAcentral describes it as "bacterial SSU rRNA". It matches the Rfam family "Bacterial small subunit ribosomal RNA", at positions 66 to 936 of the family's 1533-position model. The record is from RNAcentral. Lineage: Bacteria; Bacillati; Cyanobacteriota.